UUAGGAUUUGAUUUAGAAUUUAGAAUUUGUUUAAGAUUUGAUUUAAGAUUUAGAAUUUAUUUAGGAUUUGAUUUAGGAUUUGAUUUAGGAUUUAGAAUUUAGAAUUUAUCUAGGAUUUGAUUUAAAAUUUAGGAUUUUUUUAGGAUUUGGUUUAAGAUUUAGGAUUUUUUUAGGAUUUGAUUUAAGAUUUAGGAUUUAUUUAGGACUUAAUUUAGAAUUUAGGAUUUGCUUAGGAUUUAGGAUUUGAUCUAAG
This 253-nucleotide long non-coding RNA is filed under the name Physcomitrium patens. RNAcentral's name for it is "long non-coding RNA (PPAT_LNC001957)". Lineage: Eukaryota; Viridiplantae; Streptophyta; Bryopsida; Funariales; Funariaceae. The record is from RNAcentral.